GAUGAACGCUGGCGGCGUGCCUAAUACAUGCAAGUCGAGCGAACGGACGAGAAGCUUGCUUCUCUGAUGUUAGCGGCGGACGGGUGAGUAACACGUGGAUAACCUACCUAUAAGACUGGGAUAACUUCGGGAAACCGUAGCUAAUACCGGAUAAUAUUUUGAACCGCAUGGUUCAAAAGUGAAAGACGGUCUUGCUGUCACUUAUAGAUGGAUCCGCGCCGCAUUAUCUAGUUGGUAAGGUAACGGCUUACCAAGGCAACGAUGCAUAGCCGACCUGAGAGGGUGAUCGGCCACACUGGAACUGAGACACGGUCCAGACUCCUACGGGAGGCAGCAGUAGGGAAUCUUCCGCAAUGGGCGAAAGCCUGACGGAGCAACGCCGCGUGAGUGAUGAAGGUCUUCGGAUCGUAAAACUCUGUUAUUAGGGAAGAACAUAUGUGUAAGUAACUGUGCACAUCUUGACGGUACCUAAUCAGAAAGCCACGGCUAACUACGUG
Molecule: ribosomal RNA, 497 nt
Filed under: uncultured bacterium
Lineage: Bacteria
Description: partial 16S ribosomal RNA
Rfam family: Bacterial small subunit ribosomal RNA
Source: RNAcentral